UUACCUGCAAGUCGAGCGGUAAGGCCUUUCGGGGUACACGAGCGGCGAACGGGUGAGUAACACGUGGGUGAUCUGCCCUGCACUUCGGGAUAAGCCUGGGAAACUGGGUCUAAUACCGGAUAUGACCUCCUAUCGCAUGGUGGGUGGUGGAAAGAUUUAUCGGUGCAGGAUGGGCCCGCGGCCUAUCAGCUUGUUGGUGGGGUAAUGGCCUACCAAGGCGACGACGGGUAGCCGACCUGAGAGGGUGACCGGCCACACUGGGACUGAGACACGGCCCAGACUCCUACGGGAGGCAGCAGUGGGGAAUAUUGCACAAUGGGCGAAAGCCUGAUGCAGCGACGCCGCGUGAGGGAUGACGGCCUUCGGGUUGUAAACCUCUUUCAGCAGGGACGAAGCGCAAGUGACGGUACCUGCAGAAGAAGCACCGGCUAACUACGUGCCAGACCCCCCGGGUAAUAA
This 459-nucleotide ribosomal RNA is filed under the name Rhodococcus baikonurensis. RNAcentral's name for it is "bacterial SSU rRNA". It matches the Rfam family "Bacterial small subunit ribosomal RNA", at positions 51 to 526 of the family's 1533-position model. The record is from RNAcentral. Lineage: Bacteria; Bacillati; Actinomycetota; Actinomycetes; Mycobacteriales; Nocardiaceae.